CAUCCUUAGACAUAACAGCCUUCAGAAAGAUAUACUGGAGGGAAAAAUAGAAGGCAAAAAAGGAAGAGAGAGACCUAGAAAAUCAUGGUUUGGCAAUAUUCAGGGAAUGGACUUAACUUUGAGGAUUCCGCUAGAGAGGCCCAACAUAGAGAAUGGUGGAGAAGAAUGAUAGUUGAUUUCCAGUAUGGAGAUGAUACUUACUUGUUAGAGAGAAAGAGAGAGAUAAAGGGAUUAGCAGUCUAUUUAAGGAUUACAUUAUCUUUAGUAUUCCAUAAAUUAUUUCUGGUGAUUGAAUUAUGUUAUAUAAAAGUUCAUUAAUGUGCCAAAUACAAGAAAUGUUCUAUUUUAAACAUAUUUCUUAAGAAUAAG
Molecule: long non-coding RNA, 369 nt
Filed under: Androctonus crassicauda
Lineage: Eukaryota; Metazoa; Arthropoda; Arachnida; Scorpiones; Buthidae
Source: RNAcentral